This is a non-coding RNA of Podarcis lilfordi (Lilford's wall lizard), 70 nucleotides long. NCBI's taxonomy places the organism in Eukaryota, Metazoa, Chordata, Lepidosauria, Squamata, Lacertidae. The record is from the annotation of a GenBank genome assembly.
GGCUAGCUCCGUUGGAUAGAGUGUGGUACUGAUAAUGCCAAGGUUGUAGGUUCAGUCCCCAUAAGGGACA